CUACGGGGUGCAGCAGUGAGGAAUAUUGCACAAUGGGGGGAACCCUGAUGCAGCAACGCCGCGUGGAGGAUGACGCAUUUCGGUGUGUAAACUCCUUUUAUAUGUCAAGGGAAUGACGGUAGCAUAUGAAUAAGCACCGGCUAACUCCGUGCCAGCAGCCGCGGUAAUACGGAGGGUGCAAGCGUUACUCGGAAUCACUGGGCGUAAAGGACGCGUAGGCGGGUUGGAAAGUCAGGUGUGAAAUCCUACAGCUUAACUGUAGAACUGCACUUGAAACUUCUAAUCUAGAGUAUGGGAGGGGGAGAUGGAAUUAGUGGUGUAGGGGUAAAAUCCGUAGAUAUCACUAGGAAUACCUAAAGCGAAGGCGAUCUCCUGGAACAUUACUGACGCUAAGGCGUGAAAGCGUGGGGAGCAAACAGGAUUAGAUACCCCAGUAGUC
Molecule: ribosomal RNA, 439 nt
Filed under: uncultured bacterium
Lineage: Bacteria
Description: partial 16S ribosomal RNA
Rfam family: Bacterial small subunit ribosomal RNA
Source: RNAcentral